UGGGGAAUAUUGCACAAUGGAGGGAACUCUGAUGCAGCGACGCCGCGUGAGUGAUGAAGGAAUUCGUUUCGUAAAACUCUGUUCUAUGGGAAGAAAAGGACUGUACCAUAGGAGAAAGCUCCGGCUAAAUACGUGCCAGCAGCCGCGGUAAUACGUAUGGAGCGAGCGUUGUCCGGAAUUAUUGGGCGUAAAGGGUGCGCAGGCGGCUUUACAAGUUGGAUGUGAAAUAUUGUGGCUCAACCACAAACGUGCAUCCAAAACUGCAAAGCUUGAGUUAAGGAGAGGUAAGGGGAAUUCCUGGUGUAGCGGUGGAAUGCGUAGAUAUCAGGAGGAAUACCGGUGGCGAAGGCGACUUACUGGACUUAAACUGACGCUCAGGCACGAAAGCGUGGGGAGCAAACAGG
RNAcentral lists this ribosomal RNA (404 nucleotides) under Fusobacteriota bacterium. RNAcentral's name for it is "Fusobacteria bacterium partial 16S ribosomal RNA". It matches the Rfam family "Bacterial small subunit ribosomal RNA", at positions 355 to 776 of the family's 1533-position model. The record is from RNAcentral. Lineage: Bacteria; Fusobacteriati; Fusobacteriota.